Molecule: long non-coding RNA, 294 nt
Filed under: Brassica napus (rape)
Lineage: Eukaryota; Viridiplantae; Streptophyta; Magnoliopsida; Brassicales; Brassicaceae
Description: long non-coding RNA (BNAP_LNC019635)
Source: RNAcentral
CAACACAAAAGUUAGUAGAUAAAAACCUCACACUCUCAAGUGUUUGAUCCUCACCCACACAAGUGUUUCUCUCAGAUUUAGGUGAUCACACACAAGUUUUUACUCAAUGUUCUAAGAGAACAAAUCAAAGAAUCCCAAUGGGCAAAUCCAAGCAAACAAGGGAAUUUUCUCAAGAUAGAAAGAUAAGAGAUUUUGAUUUUUGAAAUCCGUUUUAACCACCUCAAAGGCUGGAUUUCUCCUCAGCCAGCAGGCUUUCUCUUCCACCACCAAUCCACAAAUCAAACUUUUCGAAUU